UACAGAGGGUGCGAGCGUUAAUCGGAAUUACUGGGCGUAAAGCGCGCGUAGGCGGCUUUGCAAGUCGGAUGUGAAAUCCCCAGGCUUAACCUGGGAACUGCAUUCGAGACUGCAUUGCUAGAGUAUGGGAGAGGGAGGUGGAAUUUCCGGUGUAGCGGUGAAAUGCGUAGAUAUCGGAAGGAACAUCAGUGGCGAAAGCGACUUCCUGGACCAAUACUGACGCUCAUGUGCGAAAGCGUGGGGAGCAAACAGG
This 253-nucleotide ribosomal RNA is filed under the name uncultured bacterium. RNAcentral describes it as "partial 16S ribosomal RNA". It matches the Rfam family "Bacterial small subunit ribosomal RNA", at positions 524 to 776 of the family's 1533-position model. The record is from RNAcentral.